RNAcentral lists this ribosomal RNA (506 nucleotides) under uncultured bacterium. RNAcentral's name for it is "partial 16S ribosomal RNA". It matches the Rfam family "Bacterial small subunit ribosomal RNA", at positions 30 to 523 of the family's 1533-position model. The record is from RNAcentral.
AUUGAACGCUAGCGGCAGGCCUAACACAUGCAAGUCGAACGGUAGCACAGGAGAGCUUGCUCUCUGGGUGACGAGUGGCGGACGGGUGAGUAAUGCAUGGGGAGCUGCCCAAUCGAGGGGGAUACCAGCUGGAAACGGCUGCUAAUACCGCAUACGCCCUGAGGGGGAAAGGUGGGGACCUUCGGGCCUACCGCGAUUGGAUGCACCCAUGUGGGAUUAGCUAGUUGGUGAGGUAACGGCUCACCAAGGCGACGAUCUCUAGCUGGUCUGAGAGGAUGACCAGCCACACUGGAACUGAGACACGGUCCAGACUCCUACGGGAGGCAGCAGUGGGGAAUAUUGCACAAUGGGGGAAACCCUGAUGCAGCCAUGCCGCGUGUGUGAAGAAGGCCUUCGGGUUGUAAAGCACUUUCAGUGGGGAGGAAGGGUUGAUGUCUAAUACGCAUCAGCAUUGACGUUACCCACAGAAGAAGCACCGGCUAACUCCGUGCCAGCCGCCGCCGUAA